GCGGGCAUAGUCCAAUGGUAGAAUGCGGGCUUCCCAAGCCUGAGAUGCGGGUCCGAUUCCCGCUGCCCGCACCA
This 74-nucleotide transfer RNA is filed under the name Rickettsiales bacterium. Its description in RNAcentral is "tRNA-Gly". It matches the Rfam family "tRNA". Rfam says of the family: Transfer RNA (tRNA) molecules are approximately 80 nucleotides in length. Lineage: Bacteria; Pseudomonadati; Pseudomonadota; Alphaproteobacteria; Rickettsiales. The record is from RNAcentral.